UCCGUUGGUGAACCAGCGGAGGGAUCAUUACCGAGUUUACAACUCCCAAACCCCUGUGAACAUACCAAUUGUUGCCUCGGCGGAUCAGCCCGCUCCCGGUAAAACGGGACGGCCCGCCAGAGGACCCCUAAACUCUGUUUCUAUAUGUAACUUCUGAGUAAAACCAUAAAUAAAUCAAAACUUUCAACAACGGAUCUCUUGGUUCUGGCAUCGAUGAAGAACGCAGCAAAAUGCGAUAAGUAAUGUGAAUUGCAGAAUUCAGUGAAUCAUCGAAUCUUUGAACGCACAUUGCGCCCGCCAGUAUUCUGGCGGGCAUGCCUGUUCGAGCGUCAUUUCAACCCUCAAGCCCUCGGGUUUGGUGUUGGGGAUCGGCGAGCCUCACGGCAAGCCGGCCCCGAAAUAUAGUGGCGGUCUCGCUGCAGCUUCCAUUGCGUAGUAGUAAAACCCUCGCAACUGGUACGCGGCGCGGCCAAGCCGUUAAACCCCCAACUUCUGAAUGUUGACCUCGGAUCAGGUAGGAAUACCCGCUG
Molecule: ribosomal RNA, 530 nt
Filed under: Fusarium phyllophilum
Lineage: Eukaryota; Fungi; Ascomycota; Sordariomycetes; Hypocreales; Nectriaceae
Description: eukaryotic LSU rRNA
Rfam family: 5.8S ribosomal RNA (bases 179-332)
Source: RNAcentral